RNAcentral lists this long non-coding RNA (1125 nucleotides) under Mytilus galloprovincialis (Mediterranean mussel). The record is from RNAcentral. Lineage: Eukaryota; Metazoa; Mollusca; Bivalvia; Mytilida; Mytilidae.
UCCGUUUAUUGAUAAAAUUAUUAAUAGAAUAAUCAGUUUUGCAUUUUCUAAAUGGCCUGAGACUAUUUUAAUAUUUAUUAUAGUGCGAUAGUAACAAAUGGAGAGGUAAACACAUUUUAACGCAGGAUUAUUGUGAUUCUUUGCGCUGCAUGAAAAUUCAUGCAUAGCCCUUUGUCUUAUUCUCUUGUUUUAUAUUGAACAUCUAAGUGUUUAAGAUGUUUUCCCUGGAGAUAGGAAAAAUUAAACUCCAUAUAUAUAGUGGAAUAUUUAUUAGGAUAACUAUCCUGUUGUUGAAGACGAUCACAUAUUAAAUGAAUGUCCUUUAAUUUGCAUGGCCGUAUGAAUACGUCAUCCAAGUUUGAACACUUCAAUUCACAUAACUCGUAUUAAAAAAAACUUAUACGAGCUUUAACCUAAAAUUGUGUUACAACCUUCAUUUCUUUGUUUUUAUACAAAGUCAAAUGAAAUCCAAUACUAUCAUUACUAACCAUAACGGAAUGUAUUUAUAGAUUUUACGAAUAUCAUUCCAUGAUUAACGAGAUAACCAGAUAACGCAUCUAAUCCAAUACUACUAAUAAUAUUGAAAAAGUAAAAUCACAAAAGUACCAAACUCUGGGAAAGUUCAAAACGGAAAGUCCCAAGUCAAAUGGCAAAAUCAAAAACUCAAACACAUCAAGCGAAUGAAUAACAACUGUCAUAUUCCUGACUAGGUACAGGCAUUCCCUUAUGUAGAAAAUGGUGGAAUGAACCUGUUUGUAUAGCUAGCUAAACCUGUCACUUGUAUAACAGUCGUAACAGUAGUAAAAAUAUGUAGAAGAGAUUACUAUAAGUAUUAUAUGAAUGCAAUUGUAUUUCAUAUUGCGCCAUAGAACAAAACAAAAUAACGCAGUAACGUUUUUAUGAACCAGGAACAACGAGCUUCAACAUGCACCUUGCACAGGAUUUGUCACGUUCCAGUUUUUUCCAUGCAUCUUGCUUUGGGACAAUAGGAAGCCCCUUUUAGUUUAAAAUGAACAGACUGACGACUGCUAGGAUACAUGAAAUAUAAACAAGACGGAUGACUCAAACAGGGAUAUACAAUGUUCAUUAACCAAAGAGCGAUCAAACAUUGUCGUUUAGCUUUGU